RNAcentral lists this transfer RNA (74 nucleotides) under Wolbachia pipientis. RNAcentral's name for it is "tRNA-Arg". It matches the Rfam family "tRNA". From Rfam's summary of the family: Transfer RNA (tRNA) molecules are approximately 80 nucleotides in length. Their secondary structure includes four short double-helical elements and three loops (D, anti-codon, and T loops). The record is from RNAcentral. RNAcentral also lists the same sequence under 1 other name. Lineage: Bacteria; Pseudomonadati; Pseudomonadota; Alphaproteobacteria; Rickettsiales; Anaplasmataceae.
GCGCUUGUAGCUCAGUUGGAUAGAGCGUUGCCUUCCGGAGGCAAAGGCCGUAGGUUCGAAUCCCUCCAAGCGCA